GAUGGAGAACGUAGCGAAAUGCGAUAAGUAAUGUGAAUUGCAGAAUUCAGUGAAUCAUCGAAUCUUUGAACGCACAUUGCGCCCGCCAGUAUUCUGGCGGGCAUGCCUGUCUGAGCGUCAUUUCAACCCUCACGCCCCUAGGGCGUGGUGUUGGGGAUCGGCCAAAGCCCGCGAGGGACGGCCGGCCCCUAAAUCUAGUGGCGGACCCGUCGUGGCCUCCUCUGCGAAGUAGUGAUAUUCCGCAUCGGAGAGCGAUGAGCCCCUGCCGUUAAACCCCCAACUUUCCAAGGUUGACCUCAGAUCAGGUAGGAAUACCCGCUGAACUUAAGCAUAUCAAUAAGCGGAGGA
This 348-nucleotide unclassified non-coding RNA is filed under the name soil metagenome. RNAcentral describes it as "partial contains 5.8S ribosomal RNA, internal transcribed spacer 2, and large subunit ribosomal RNA". The stretch from base 1 to 120 matches the Rfam family "5.8S ribosomal RNA", at positions 35 to 154 of the family's 154-position model. The record is from RNAcentral.